CCUACGGGAGGCAGCAGUGAGGAAUAUUGGUCAAUGGUCGGGAGACUGAACCAGCCAAGCCGCGUGAGGGAUGAAGGUACAGAGUAUCGUAAACCUCUUUUGUCAGGGAACAAAGGCGGGGACGUGUCGCCGGUUGAGUGUACCUGAAGAAAAAGCAUCGGCUAACUCCGUGCCAGCAGCCGCGGUAAUACGGAGGAUGCGAGCGUUAUCCGGAUUUAUUGGGUUUAAAGGGUGCGCAGGCGGACUGUUAAGUCAGCGGUCAAAGCGCGGGGCUCAACCCCGGCCCGCCGUUGAAACUGGCAGUCUCGAGUGAGCGAGAAGUAUGCGGAAUGCGCGGUGUAGCGGUGAAAUGCAUAGAUAUCGCGCAGAACUCCGAUUGCGAAGGCAGCAUGCCGGCUCCACACUGACGCUGAGGCACGAAAGCGUGGGUAUCGAACAGGAUUAGAUACCCCUGUAGUC
RNAcentral lists this ribosomal RNA (459 nucleotides) under uncultured bacterium. RNAcentral describes it as "partial 16S ribosomal RNA". It matches the Rfam family "Bacterial small subunit ribosomal RNA", at positions 338 to 795 of the family's 1533-position model. The record is from RNAcentral.